RNAcentral lists this ribosomal RNA (253 nucleotides) under uncultured bacterium. RNAcentral's name for it is "partial 16S ribosomal RNA". It matches the Rfam family "Bacterial small subunit ribosomal RNA", at positions 524 to 776 of the family's 1533-position model. The record is from RNAcentral.
UACAGAGGGUGCAAGCGUUGUUCGGAAUUAUUGGGCGUAAAGGGCGCGUAGGCGGUGCCACAAGUCACCUGUGAAAUCUCCGGGCUUAACUCGGAGCCUGCAGGCGAAACUGUGAUGCUGGAGUUUGGGAGAGGGAUGCGGAAUUCCAGGUGUAGCGGUGAAAUGCGUAGAUAUCGGGAGGAACACCUGUGGCGAAAGCGGCGCACUGGACCACAACUGACGCUGAGGCGCGAAAGCUAGGGGAGCAAACAGG